RNAcentral lists this microRNA (22 nucleotides) under Gyrodactylus salaris (gyrodactylosis fluke). Its description in RNAcentral is "gsa-miR-9405-5p". Lineage: Eukaryota; Metazoa; Platyhelminthes; Monogenea; Gyrodactylidea; Gyrodactylidae. The record is from miRBase by way of RNAcentral.
UCGCGUAUUUAAGGUUUCAAUC